This 85-nucleotide transfer RNA is filed under the name Candidatus Aenigmatarchaeota archaeon. RNAcentral's name for it is "tRNA-Lys". It matches the Rfam family "tRNA". From Rfam's summary of the family: Transfer RNA (tRNA) molecules are approximately 80 nucleotides in length. Their secondary structure includes four short double-helical elements and three loops (D, anti-codon, and T loops). Further hydrogen bonds mediate the characteristic L-shaped molecular structure. tRNAs have two regions of fundamental functional importance: the anti-codon, which is responsible for specific mRNA codon recognition, and the 3' end, to which the tRNAs corresponding amino acid is attached (by aminoacyl-tRNA synthetases). tRNAs cope with the degeneracy of the genetic code in two manners: having more than one tRNA (with a specific anti-codon) for a particular amino acid; and 'wobble' base-pairing, i.e. permitting non-standard base-pairing at the 3rd anti-codon position. The record is from RNAcentral. Lineage: Archaea; Nanobdellati; Candidatus Aenigmatarchaeota.
GGGCCUGUAGCUCAGCCUGGUAGAGCAUCGGAUGUAUCCAGGCCUUUUAAGCCGGGUGUCGCGGGUUCGAAUCCCGUCGGGCCCA